UUGGAGGGCAAGUCUGGUGCCAGCAGCCGCGGUAAUUCCAGCUCCAAUAGCGUAUAUUAAAGUUGUUGCAGUUAAAAAGCUCGUAGUUGAAUUUCGGGGUCAGUAGGCUGGUCGUGCCACGGGUAUGUACUGGUCUCACUGAUUCCUCCUUCCUGAUGAACCGUAAUGCCAUUAAUUUGGUGUUGCGGGGAAACUGGACUGUUACUUUGAAAAAAUUAGAGUGUUUAAAGCAGGCUAACGCUUGAAUACAUUAGCAUGGAAUAAUGAAAUAGGACGUUCGAUCCUAUUUUGUUGGUUUCUAGGAUUGACGUAAUGAUUAAUAGGGAUAGUUGGGGGCAUUAGUAUUCAAUUGUCAGAGGUGAAAUUCUUGGAUUUAUUGAAGACUAACUACUGCGAAAGCAUUUGCCAAGGAUGUUUUCAUUAAUCAAGAACGAAAGUUAGGGGAUCGAAGACGAUCAGAUACCGUCGUAGUCUUAACCAUAAACUAUGCCGACUAGGGAUCGGAUGAUGUUAAUUUUUUAAUGACUCAUUCGGCGCCUUACGGGAAA
This 548-nucleotide ribosomal RNA is filed under the name uncultured Glomeromycotina. Its description in RNAcentral is "SSU rRNA". It matches the Rfam family "Eukaryotic small subunit ribosomal RNA", at positions 548 to 1097 of the family's 1831-position model. The record is from RNAcentral. Lineage: Eukaryota; Fungi; Glomeromycota.